This 514-nucleotide ribosomal RNA is filed under the name uncultured bacterium. RNAcentral describes it as "bacterial SSU rRNA". It matches the Rfam family "Bacterial small subunit ribosomal RNA", at positions 26 to 518 of the family's 1533-position model. The record is from RNAcentral.
AGAACGAACGCUGGCGGCGUGCUUAACACAUGCAAGUCGAACGCGAAAGGGACUUCGGUCCUGAGUAAAGUGGCGCACGGGUGAGUAACGCGUAGAUAACCUGUCUUCAUGUCUGGAAUAAUACGCCGAAAGGGGUACUAAUACCGGAUAUUCUUGCUUUUCAUAAGUUAUGCAAGCAAAGGUGGCCUCUGCAUAUGCUACUGCAUGAAGAGGGGUCUGCGUACCAUUAGCUAGUAGGUGGGGUAAUGGCCUACCUAGGCGACGAUGGUUAGCGGGUCUGAGAGGAUGAUCCGCCACACUGGCACUGGAACACGGGCCAGACUCCUACGGGAGGCAGCAGUGAGGAAUAUUGCGCAAUGGGGGAAACCCUGACGCAGCGACGCCGCGUGAGUGAGGAAAGGCCCUUCGGGUCGUAAAGCUCUGUCAAGAGGAAAGAAGUGUACAAUGGCUAAUACCUGUUGUAUUUGACGGUACCUCUAAAGGAAGCACCGGCUAACUCCGUGCCAGCAGCUGC